UACGGGGGGUGCAAGCGUUGCUCGGAAUCACUGGGCGUAAAGCGUCCGCAGGCGGCUUGAUAAGUCGGGUGUGAAAGCCCGGGGCUCAACCCCGGAACUGCAUUCGAAACUGUCUCGCUUGAGUACGGGAGAGGGUCGUGGAAUUCCUGGUGUAGAGGUGAAAUGCGCAGAUAUCAGGAGGAACACCAAUUGCGAAGGCAGCUCGCUGGGACGUUACUGACGCUGAGACGCGAAAGCGUGGGGAGCAAACAGG
Molecule: ribosomal RNA, 253 nt
Filed under: uncultured bacterium
Lineage: Bacteria
Description: partial 16S ribosomal RNA
Rfam family: Bacterial small subunit ribosomal RNA
Source: RNAcentral